This 402-nucleotide ribosomal RNA is filed under the name uncultured Sphingomonas sp. RNAcentral's name for it is "bacterial SSU rRNA". It matches the Rfam family "Bacterial small subunit ribosomal RNA", at positions 355 to 774 of the family's 1533-position model. Lineage: Bacteria; Pseudomonadati; Pseudomonadota; Alphaproteobacteria; Sphingomonadales; Sphingomonadaceae. The record is from RNAcentral.
UGUGGAAUAUUGCACAAUGGGCGAAAGCCUGAUGCAGCGACGCCGCGUGAGGGAUGAAGGCCCUAGGGUUGUAAAGCUCUUUUACCCGGGAAGAUAAUGACUGUACCGGGAGAAUAAGCCCCGGCUAACUCCGUGCCAGCAGCCGCGGUAAUACGGAGGGGGCUAGCGUUGUUCGGAAUUACUGGGCGUAAAGCGCGCGUAGGCGGCUUUGUAAGUUAGAGGUGAAAGCCCGGGGCUCAACCCCGGAAAUGCCUUUAAGACUGCAUCGCUUGAAUCCAGGAGAGGUGAGUGGAAUUCCGAGUGUAGAGGUGAAAUUCGUAGAUAUUCGGAAGAACACCAGUGGCGAAGGCGGAUCACUGGCCUGGUAUUGACGCUGAGGUGCGAAAGCGUGGGGAGCAAACA